CAGUUUCGGUGGUAUAUUCCUGAUGAGACCCUCACUGUGCUUGGAAGCUCUUGCAUUUUUCUAAGUUGAUUCGCCUAAACCGGCUUGAGCACUCCUCCCCAGCACUGUCAGGAAGUCUGUUGCGAUGUUGGCUCGAUCUUUGGAUUUCUGGAUCAUUCAAGAAGCCCAGAAAAUCGUGGUCCCUCCAUCUCUCCAAGCUUGAUCUUAUGACCCUGAGACCAAGACCCU
Mustela erminea (ermine) is the source of this 228-nucleotide long non-coding RNA. RefSeq lists it as uncharacterized. NCBI's taxonomy places the organism in Eukaryota, Metazoa, Chordata, Mammalia, Carnivora, Mustelidae. The record is from RefSeq and is a predicted model, not a curated record. The transcript is spliced from 3 exons.